RNAcentral lists this ribosomal RNA (631 nucleotides) under uncultured bacterium. Its description in RNAcentral is "bacterial SSU rRNA". The stretch from base 1 to 543 matches the Rfam family "Bacterial small subunit ribosomal RNA", at positions 338 to 873 of the family's 1533-position model. The record is from RNAcentral.
CCUACGGGAGGCAGCAGUGGGGAAUAUUGGACAAUGGGCGCAAGCCUGAUCCAGCCAUGCCGCGUGUGUGAAGAAGGCCUUCGGGUUGUAAAGCACUUUUAUCCGGAAAGAAAAGCUUUGGGUUAAUACCCUGAAGUCAUGACGGUACCGGAAGAAUAAGCACCGGCUAACUUCGUGCCAGCAGCCGCGGUAAUACGAAGGGUGCAAGCGUUACUCGGAAUUACUGGGCGUAAAGCGUGCGUAGGUGGUUUGUUAAGUCUGAUGUGAAAGCCCUAGGCUCAACCUGGGAAUUGCAUUGGAUACUGGCAGGCUAGAGUGCGGUAGAGGAUAGUGGAAUUCCCGGUGUAGCAGUGAAAUGCGUAGAGAUCGGGAGGAACAUCUGUGGCGAAGGCGACUAUCUGGGCCAGCACUGACACUGAGGCACGAAAGCGUGGGGAGCAAACAGGAUUAGAUACCCUGGUAGUCCACGCCCUAAACGAUGCGAACUGGAUGUUGGGUGCAACUGGCACUCAGUAUCGAAGCUAACGCGUUAAGUUCGCCGCCCUGGGGGAGGUACGGUCGCGAGACGUAGAACGUACGAAGGAAGUUAGACGGACGUGAGACGNGCGACGGACGACGACGAGGGAGGAGG